This 253-nucleotide ribosomal RNA is filed under the name uncultured bacterium. RNAcentral describes it as "partial 16S ribosomal RNA". It matches the Rfam family "Bacterial small subunit ribosomal RNA", at positions 524 to 776 of the family's 1533-position model. The record is from RNAcentral.
UACGUAGGGGGCAAGCGUUGUCCGGAAUCAUUGGGCGUAAAGAGCGUGUAGGCGGCCCGGUAAGUCCGCUGUGAAAGUCCAGGGCUCAACCCUGGGAUGCCGGUGGAUACUGUCGGGCUCGAGUCCGGAAGAGGAGUGUGGAAUUCCUGGUGUAGCGGUGAAAUGCGCAGAUAUCAGGAGGAACACCGGUGGCGAAGGCGGCUAUCUGGACAGAGUCUGACGCUGAGGCGCGAAAGCUAGGGGAGCAAACAGG